GACAGCAGUAGCCACGGUAAUACGUAGGUCCCGAGCGUUGUCCGGAUUUAUUGGGCGUAAAGGGAGCGCAGGCGGUUUGGUAAGUCUGAAGUUAAAGGCAUUGGCUCAACCAAUGUAUGCUUUGGAAACUGUUAGACUUGAGUGCAGAAGGGGGGAGUGGAAUUCCAUGUGUAGCGGUGAAAUGCGUAGAUAUAUGGAGGAACACCGGUGGCGAAAGCGGCUCUCUGGUCUGUCACUGACGCUGAGGCUCGAAAGCGUGGGUAGCGAACAGGAUUAGAUACCCGUGUAGUCCCUGUCUCUUAUACA
RNAcentral lists this ribosomal RNA (306 nucleotides) under uncultured bacterium. RNAcentral describes it as "partial 16S ribosomal RNA". It matches the Rfam family "Bacterial small subunit ribosomal RNA", at positions 505 to 808 of the family's 1533-position model. The record is from RNAcentral.